This 24-nucleotide non-coding RNA is filed under the name Oryctolagus cuniculus (rabbit). Lineage: Eukaryota; Metazoa; Chordata; Mammalia; Lagomorpha; Leporidae. The record is from RNAcentral. RNAcentral also lists the same sequence under 3 other names.
AUACCCUGUAGAACCGAAUUUGUG